Musa acuminata subsp. malaccensis (wild Malaysian banana) is the source of this 4407-nucleotide non-coding RNA. NCBI's taxonomy places the organism in Eukaryota, Viridiplantae, Streptophyta, Magnoliopsida, Zingiberales, Musaceae. The record is from RefSeq and is a predicted model, not a curated record.
CCUCGGUAUCGUGGGAACACCGAGCAUCAUCGUUCGGUUUCCGCCUCCCCCUUCCAUACGUUAACCCUAAUUUCGCCGUCACCGUCUGUGCCCUCCUAACUCAGGACGACCCUCGGCAUGGCCAGCGAGGAGUUGCCGUCGCCCACCUCGAGCCGCAAGCAUCGGCGGUCCUCGGACGACCAUGGGGCGGAGGCCUCCUCGAAGCGGCGCAAGCACCACCAUCGCCGCCACCGUCACCGCAGCAGGCAUGGCCGUGAGAGCGAUGACGGGAUUGAGGUGGCGGAUCCCGCUUCGGAUCCGGAGCCCGCUUCCCUUGCCGCCAUCAAGACCGUUGAUGACGAGCGAGAGGAGGGGGAGAUUCUUGAAGAGGAUGAGGAACGAGCAGGCGUCGAUGGAGGGCCGGCGCAUGGGCUUAAGAUCAAGUCUGACGGUGUCGAUGCUUCUUCCGAUCUGACCAUGCCUGGGGCGAAAGUUGCUACAUCAGGGAAAAGUUUUAAGGUGCCCAUUCAUAACCAGAAUGGAUUGACAGAUUCAAAGAUGUUGGAACCUGCUCCAUCUUGUGAGAACUCAAGCUACACGGAUCAAGCCAAGCUGAGGGGAGAUAUUUCAGAUGGAGACACUUUUAUCCGGGAGGCUGAGAAUUUAUCACCGAGUGAUGUGGUUAAAAAAACUGUAAUUCAAGGGGAAACUAUAUUAUGCCAAUUGGAAUUAUCAGAACAAAAUGAAAUUAAGCACAAGCACACGGAUAGAAAUGAUAUAAAAAUUCGGGUAAGAUCAAGAUCUCCAGGAGAAAGGUCUCCUGCAGCAAAGCACAGGAAAAGGGAUGGCCCUGAAGACAGAGAUUCUGGCAGUGUUUCGGAGAGGCUUGAUUCAAAGCAGUAUCCUGAAUCAAGGGAUUCCAGUAGAAGAGCAUCUGAUAAGAUCAGAUCGGUAUCACCCAAAACCUUGCGGGAUGGGUACAGAGACACCAGAAUGUCUCCAUCUUUCAGCAGGCAACAUGACGAAGGCUAUCACAGGAGCAGGUCCAGCUCCCAUGAUCAUACAAGGAGGCAAUCCUAUGAAAAAGUUUUAGAACCUUCAGCUGAUGGCAAUGAUCAAGUUGAUUCACAUGGAAACAUGCGUGGUGAUUCUGAUAGGUACUGUGCUUUAGAUAGGUAUGCUGCUGGAAGUCAAGCAAAGGAUAAAAUUUUCCUUAGUGAACGAGAAAGCAGUGGCAAUAGAAAUGGUGACAGGCAUGGAAGUCGGGAGCGUGAGAGGAACAGGGAAAGAAACAGCAGCAUUGUCAGGGAAAGAGAUAAUGUGGACUCAAAUGAAAGGCAUCAUAGAGAAAGAGGGAGUAGUAAUUAUAGCAGAUACAACAGAGGGGAGGGCAGACAUGGAAGUCGGGAAAGAGAUAGGGAGAAGGAAAGAAACAGUAGCAGUUAUAGAGACAGAGAUAAGGUGGACUUGGAUAAAGGGGUUCACAAACAAAGAGAGGGGAGUAGUGAUUAUAGCAGGUACAACAGACGGGAGGUAAAUGACAGAGCAAGAGAUGAACCAAGUGAUAUUAGGGAUAAAUUUUUACAAAGGGAAAGGUUAAGGGAUGGUGGGCAUGCAAGAGAUAGAGAUGGUGAUGAUAGAGAUAAGAAUAGAGCAAGGCACAAGGAAGUUUAUGCGCAUGAAGGUAGAAAUCAAGGUGCGCAGUUGGAAACAGACAAACCAAGUAGCAGGGAUAGACAUAGGGAAUCUAGGCAUUCGAAGUAUGGAGUGGAGCAUCACAAGGGCAUAUCACGAUCUAAGGAUGAUGGUUCUAGUAAAGACAAUCCUAAAGAAGACAAACAAAAGUUGAUUAGGGAGGAAGAAGAAGAUUACCAAGAGAAAAUUGAACAGCAACUUGCCAAGCAGGAUGAAGAAGAUAUUGACAAGAUCAAAGAAGAGAGCAGGAGGAGGAAGCAAGCUAUUUUGGAAAAAUAUCGACAACGGCAUCUGCAGCAAGUUGAAUCCUCAUCUGAUGGCAACAAGAAUGCUGCUGAGAAAACUUCUUUGGAUAAGGAGACGUCACAUGGCUUUCAUGCUACCAGUGCCGAUAAUAAAGUUAUUAGUGAAGAGCUUGAGAAUGUACAUCACUCUGGAGAUGUAUAUGAUGCUGAUUUAUCAUUUACAGUGGGAAAGUCACCCAUGCAAGAGGGAGAUUUGACUACUAAGAAAAUGAACAAUGUUGGGGGACUUGGGGAGGGUACUCCAAAGAGUGAGAGAUCGGCAGACAUGUUUAGUGAUGACAUCUUUGGGGAAUCACCCGUUGGAGUGUGCAAGAUGGGAAAAGGUGAAGGCCCACAAAUAGAUAGAAGUUUUCUCUAUGACAACUGGGAUGAUGCAGAGGGAUAUUAUAGUUACAGGUUUGGAGAAGUGCUUGAUAGUCGAUAUGAAGUUAUUGCAGCCCAUGGAAAGGGUGUUUUUUCAACGGUUGUCCGUGCAAAGGAUCUCAAGGCUGGGAAAGGUGACCCUGAAGAAGUAGCUGUUAAAAUAAUACGCAACAACGAUACCAUGUACAAGGCUGGACAAGAUGAACUUGUUAUUUUAAAGAAAUUGGCAGGCGCUGAUCCUGAGGAUAGACGCCAUUGUGUUAGGUUUCUCUCAUCUUUCAAGUAUCGAAAUCAUCUUUGCUUAGUUUUUGAAUCUCUUCAUAUGAACCUUCGUGAGGUUCUAAAGAAAUUUGGUCGUAAUAUUGGGCUUAAGCUGACUGCUGUGAGGGCUUACGCGAAGCAGCUUUUCAUUGCACUGAAGCAUCUGAGGAAUUGUGGCGUUCUGCACUGUGAUAUCAAGCCAGAUAACAUGCUGGUUAAUGAGGCAAAAAAUGUUCUAAAGCUUUGUGAUUUUGGUAACGCUAUGUUUGCGGGUAAGAAUGAGAUUACACCCUACCUUGUUAGCCGCUUUUACCGUGCCCCAGAAAUAAUUCUUGGAUUGCCAUAUGAUCAUCCGAUGGAUAUGUGGUCAGUUGGUUGCUGCCUAUAUGAACUUUAUACGGGAAAAGUACUUUUUCCUGGUCCUUCAAACAAUGACAUGCUUCGACUUCACAUGGAGUUAAAGGGUACUUUCCCCAAAAAGAUGCUUCGGAAGGGUGCCUUCACGGAUCAGCAUUUUGAUCAAGACUUAAAUUUUCAUGCCACCGAGGAGGACCCUGUUACAAAGAAGCCUGUUAAGAGACUGCUGCUCAGUAUUAAACCAAAGGAUAUUGGUGUCCUCAUAUCAGGCUUUCCUGGCGAAGAUUCCAAAAUGUUAUCAAAUUUUAAGGAUCUUCUAGACCGAAUAUUUGUAUUGGAUCCAGAAAAGAGGAUGACAAUAUCUCAGGCACUAAGUCAUCCAUUUAUCACGGGCAAGUGAACUAAGAUGCUGAAUUUUCUGACUCUAACAAUGCUGUUCAACUAUGCAUCUACCUUGUAAACUAAAUUCAUUUUCAUCCAUCUAAUUCUUCUACAUUUAUCCAUCUUUUCACUGCUUGGGUGGAGAUUCAUGGAUUGUGUCGACGAGGAGUUGAAGAGAUCAUUGGUUUAGCCUUCCUAUGUGGGGGUCCUUAUCAGUGUGAUGUCUGUUUCUUCGGUAUUCAAUUGGAGAAUGGGUGAUAAUCUUUGAAUGUAUUUCUUGUGAGCUUGAAAAUAUCUGCAGUUUGUGUACCUAAGGGGUUUUGCCAGUGCUAUGUGGGUAUCUGCAAUGUUUUAUAUGCUAAAGGCAACAAAAGAAGCCUUUACAUUGGAGAUUGCUGGAUCAGUUGCUUGUGCUGUUGAAAGGAUUGCUGUGCUGUUCGACAUAUAUCGGAACGGAUCAAAUUGUUUGGUACCAAAGAGCAAGGAUUUAAAUAUUGAUUGGACCUCUUCAUUCUGACCAGCAUUUAAUCAGUCCGGUCAAAUACCAAUAUCAAGCAUACAGCUUGACACCGAUUAUUGUGGAUGCAUAUGUUCAUCUCCGGCUGACUUUUCUUCUAAGCAGCAUGACGAGGAUUCUCAAGGUUGUGUGAAGUGUUCCUCAUUUGUUCCUGGUCGAUCCUGUCGAUCCUUUCUACUUAAAUUAUCAAAUUACCUCCUGAUAUUUCUUAGGAGGUUCAUUCAUGGUCCUCAGGAGAUGCGUCUUGAGCAUAUGCCAGCCUCAAUUGUGGAUCUCAGUCGAUAGGUUGAUCUAAUGAGCUCAUCGGACAACAUGGAUGCCCUUGAAGUGCUAGUUGUAUCGCUGGCAAACUUCGUCACCUAUCUACCGAAAGGCUUGUGGACUUUGUAAGAUUGUUUCGUGAGAUCGCAGUAGCCCUAGAGGAAUUACUGAUGGAUCAGAGAAAAAUGCCGUAGAAUGUCUUGUUUGUGUUUUGGCGGAUGUAAGGUGUUCCUUACAUGGAAUUACAUUGUUGUCUUUGUGGUUUGGCAAAUGCCUAGGGUUGUAACA